Molecule: ribosomal RNA, 468 nt
Filed under: uncultured bacterium
Lineage: Bacteria
Description: partial 16S ribosomal RNA
Rfam family: Bacterial small subunit ribosomal RNA
Source: RNAcentral
GACGAACGCUGGCGGCGUGCUUAACACAUGCAAGUCGAACGGAAAGGCCCUGCUCUUGUUGGGUGCUCGAUUGGCGAACGGGGGAGUAACACGUGAGUAACCUGCCCUUGACUUUGGGAGAACUUCAGGAAACUGGGGCUAAUACCGGGUAGGAGCUCCUGCUGCAUGGUGUGGGUUGGAAAGUGUCGGCGGUAGGGUAUGGACUCGCGGGUUAUCAGCUUGUUGGUCGGGUAGUUGCUUACCAAGGCUUUGACGGGUAGCCGGCCUGAGAGGGUGACCGGCCACAUUGGGCCUGAGAUACGGCGCAGAAUCCUACGGGCGGCAGCAGUGGGGAAUAUUGCACAAUGGGCGGAAGCCUGAUGCAGAAACGCCGCGUGCGGGAUGACGGCCUUCGGGUUGUAAACCGCUUUCGCAUGUGACGAAGCGUGAGUGACGGUAAUGGGUAAAGAAGCACCGGCUAACUACGUG